GUGGGGAAUCUUGCGCAAUGGGCGAAAGCCUGACGCAGCCAUGCCGCGUGAAUGAUGAAGGUCUUAGGAUUGUAAAAUUCUUUCACCGGGGACGAUAAUGACGGUACCCGGAGAAGAAGCUCCGGCUAACUUCGUGCCAGCAGCCGCGGUAAUACGAAGGGGGCUAGCGUUACUCGGAAUUACUGGGCGUAAAGGGCGCGUAGGCGGACAGCUUAGUCAGAGGUGAAAGCCCAGGGCUCAACCUUGGAAUUGCCUUUGAUACUGGCUGUCUUGAGUUUGGGAGAGGUGAGUGGAACUCCGAGUGUAGAGGUGAAAUUCGUAGAUAUUCGGAAGAACACCAGUGGCGAAGGCGACUCACUGGCCCAAUACUGACGCUGAGGCGCGAAAGCGUGGGGAGCAAACAGGAUUAGAUACCCUGGUAGUCC
RNAcentral lists this ribosomal RNA (425 nucleotides) under uncultured bacterium. Its description in RNAcentral is "partial 16S ribosomal RNA". It matches the Rfam family "Bacterial small subunit ribosomal RNA", at positions 354 to 796 of the family's 1533-position model. The record is from RNAcentral.